This is a non-coding RNA of Pseudopodoces humilis (Tibetan ground-tit), 5197 nucleotides long. Lineage: Eukaryota; Metazoa; Chordata; Aves; Passeriformes; Paridae. The record is from RefSeq and is a predicted model, not a curated record.
GCCCCCAACCAGCGGCGGCGGCAGCGAAGGAGUUCGGAAGUUCAAAAUGGCCGCCGCGGCCGAGCCUGAGCAGCGACCGCCCGAGGUUGAGGAUGCUGAGGUGUCCGAGAAAAGUGUGAAUGAAGAAAAUGGGGAAGUGUCAGAGGCAGACCAACCUCAGAACAAGCACAGCCGACACAAAAAAAAGAAACACAAACACCGAAGUAAACACAAGAAACAUAAACAUUCUUCAGAAGAUGAUAAGGACAAAAAACAUAAACACAGACACAAACAUAAGAAACAUAAAUGGAAAGAGGUGGCUGAUGCCUCUGACAAAGAAGAUGGACCAGCUAAAAGAACUAAAAUUGAUUUUUUGGCUCCUCUGGAAGACUUAGAGAAACAAAGAGCAUUGCUGAAAGCUGAACUUGAAAAUGAAUUAAUGGAAGGAAAAGUCCAGUCUGGAAUGGGAUUAAUAUUACAAGGUUAUGAGUCAGGAUCUGAAGAAGAGGGAGAGAUUAAUGAAAAAGCACGAAAUGGAACAAGGCCUACAACGAAGUCAAAUACUAAGGGGAAAUUAGAACCUGUGGACAAUAAAACUAGUUCCAAGAAAGCAAGUAAGAGUGAAUCAAAAGAAAGGACUAGGCACAGAUCUGACAAAAAGAAAGCUAAGGCAGGAGUUGAUGGGGUCAAAGAGAAGACUACUAGAAGCAAGUCAAAGGAAAGGAGGAAAUCCAAAAGUCCUUAUAAGAGAAGUAAGUCUCAAGAUCAGACAAGGAAAUCUAGGUCUCCAAUACUUAAGAGGAGAUCUCAGGAGAAAAACAGAAAGUCUAAGUCUCCUCCGGAGGAGAGAAAUAAGGCUGAUGAUAAAAGCAAAUCAAGGGACCGCAGAAAGUCUCCAGUUGUGAAUGAAAGCAAAAGCAGAGAUCGUGGUAGAAAAUCUAAAUCUCCAGCAGAACUAAGAAGCAAAUCCAAAGAUAGAAGAUCACGGUCCAAAGAUAGAAAACCUAGGAGAUCAGAGACUGACAAAGAAAAAAAGCCAAUUAAAUCUCCUUCUAAAGAUGCUUCUUCAGGGAAAGAAAACAGGUCCCCUAGACGACCUGGCCGUAGCCCAAAAGGGAGAAGCUUAUCUCCCAAACAGCGUGAAAAGUCAAGAAGAAGCAGAUCCCCUCUCUUUAAUGAUCGUAGAUCCAAACAGAGUAGAUCCCCCUCUCGAACCCGGUCUCCAGUUAGAAGAGUGAGGAGUAGAUCUGCAGAAAGAAAAAGAAGAGAAUCAGAAAGGAGGCGUCUGUCUUCUCCCAGAACACGGACCAGGGAUGACAUUUUGUCUAGACGUGAAAGAUCCAAGGAUGUCAGCCCACCCAGCAGAUGGUCCCCAUCCAGAAGAAGGUCUCGGUCCCCCAUUAGGAGGAGAUCUCGAACACCCCUUCGACGUAGCCGAUCUCCCAGAAGGCGGAGUAGAUCUCCUCGGAGGAGGGAUAGAGGCCGGAGAAGUAGAUCUCGCCUUCGAAGGAGAUCCAGGUCACGUGGUGGCCAUAGACGUAGGAGUAGAAGCAAAGUUAAAGAAGACAAGUUUAAAGGCAGUCUUUCUGAGGGCAUGAAAGCUGAACAGGAGUCUUCAUCAGAUGAAAAUCUUGAAGACUUUGAUUUGGAAGAAGAGGAUGAAGAAGCAGAAAUAAGACAAAGGAGAUUACAGCGGCAAGCAAUUGUUCAGAAAUACAAAGGCCAGACAGAGGACAGUAACAUAUCUGUACCAUCUGAACCAAGCAGCCCUCAAAGCAGUACACGCAGUCGCUCAAAUUCUCCUGAUGACAUUCUAGAAAGAGUUGCUGCUGAUGUUAAGGAGUAUGAACGGGAAAAUGUGGAUACAUUUGAGGCGUCAGUGAAAGCCAAGCACAACCUCAUGACAGUUGAACAGAACAAUGGUUCAUCUCAGAAGAAGCUGCUAGCACCUGAUAUGUUCACAGAAUCAGAUGAUAUGUUCGCUGCAUACUUUGAUAGUGCUCGUUUAAGGGCUGCUGGGUUUGGAAAAGACUUCAAAGAAAACCCCAAUCUCAGGGAUAACUGGACAGACGCAGAAGGCUAUUACCGUGUUAAUAUAGGUGAAGUUCUAGAUAAACGUUACAAUGUCUAUGGUUACACUGGUCAGGGAGUCUUCAGCAACGUAGUGCGAGCCAGAGAUAUGGCCAGAGCAAACCAAGAAGUAGCCGUGAAAAUCAUCAGGAACAAUGAACUUAUGCAAAAAACUGGCCUAAAAGAACUGGAAUUUUUAAAGAAGCUAAAUGAUGCUGAUCCUGAUGACAAGUUUCAUUGUCUACGGUUGUUCAGGCAUUUCUACCACAAACAACAUCUCUGUCUGGUAUUUGAGCCACUCAGUAUGAAUUUACGAGAAGUGUUGAAGAAGUAUGGGAAAGAUGUUGGACUCCACAUUAAAGCUGUCCGUUCCUACAGCCAGCAAUUGUUCCUGGCUUUAAAACUUCUUAAAAGAUGCAAUAUCCUACAUGCAGAUAUUAAACCAGAUAAUAUUUUGGUGAACGAGUCUAAAACAAUACUAAAGCUUUGUGAUUUUGGCUCAGCUUCACAUGUCGCAGAUAAUGACAUCACACCCUAUCUAGUUAGUAGAUUUUAUCGAGCUCCAGAAAUCAUUAUAGGAAAGAUCUAUGACUAUGGUAUAGAUAUGUGGUCUGUAGGCUGCACAUUAUAUGAGCUUUAUACAGGAAAAAUACUGUUUCCUGGCAAAACCAAUAAUCAUAUGUUGAAACUUGCCAUGGAUCUCAAAGGAAAGAUGCCAAACAAGAUGAUUCGAAAAGGUGUGUUCAAAGAUCAGCACUUUGAUCAAAAUCUCAACUUUAUGUAUAUAGAAGUAGAUAAAGUGACGGAAAGGGAGAAAGUUACUGUAAUGAGCACCAUUAAUCCAACCAAGGACCUAUUAGCAGAUUUGAUUGGGUGCCAACGACUCCCUGAAGACCAGCGUAAAAAAGUGCACCAGCUUAAGGACUUGUUGGACCAGAUUCUAAUGCUAGACCCAGCUAAACGGAUUAGCAUCAACCAGGCUCUGCAGCACGCCUUCAUCCAGGAGAAAAUUUAAACCAGAUGAAGAAGUUCAAAGGGUUUGAUUAAUUAAGAUACAAAGACUGAAGAAAUUUCACAGCAGUUAUUAAUGUGUGUGUGUGCAGGCCACAGCAGCAUGCCCUUGGUGUAGUCAGUGCCGAAGGGGGUCUGUUCCUUCUUGAGCCUGCCCGCAGGGAUGGUCUCCUCUUUUAAAGCAGGUUGUGUACAACUUUCAGUACACUGAAGGUAAGCUAACCCAUCAACAUCACCGGUGUUUAAGCUGUUAUUUUACUGGAACAACUGACAAAUGAGAGACAAUAGCAUUGUGGCAGAAUUCCCUGCAUGUUUGAGAAAUGAUCGUUUUAUUUUCUGGCAUUGCAACCGUGGCAUAGUUACAACUUCUGUUCUGUUCAUCACAUUUAAAACUGGGAGAGAGCGCACUUGAUGGAUAGAGCGCCUUCAGUGUACUGUUUCUUAUUACUUUAGUUUUUUUAAUCAACUUGCUAUAGACUUUGUAUACAUUUUGUUAAAUACAGUUCACUAUGACAUAGAACCAAUACUUACAGAAGAGUUUUCAUUUAGUAAUUACAUAUGUUGGGAUCUCAUUCGAAAGACCUUAUAUCUAAAGGAUAGAUAGACAACAUAAUGAAAUUUUUAACUAUUUGUAUGUCAUUUUGAAAGUGUACUGCUUUAUGCUAAAAGUGUUUCAUUUGUUCAUUGUUUUCAUUAUUUGUGAUCAUGUUGUCUUUCAAUACAGGCAUAAACCUUCCACUCUUGAACAAAGCAGCUGCUUUUUAAAAGCGAGAAAAAAGGAAAGCGAGUCACAGGCCACUCAACGCCUACUCCAUGGGUCUGAUUUGCUGAGACACCAACUUCACCCUCCUAACAAGGUGCAGCUCAAAAGAAGAUGAAGGCUACCAGAAGACAUGAACAAAGGUUUCUGUCCUAUAAAAGAUAUGAAAAAUACUCUUCAUGUAGUUCUGUCUUAAUCUUUUAGUUUCCAGCAUUUCAGUUUAGAAUUGAUUAACACUGCUGCAUUACUGAUAAUUCAUGAAACAUAUUUGCUGUAUUAAAAUUUGUUACAUAGAUUGUUUUGUUUCUGGUUGAAGAGGGUUUUUUUUAAUUGUAAUAAAAUGUAGGUAAACUAGCAUUACUCUUAAAAUGUAGUUUUCUUAAAAUGAUAGAAUGAGCAGUACAAAAUCUAUUACAUUUAGGAAAAAAAAUGAACCAUUAUAUUUGGUUAAAAUAAAUGUGUUAACCAGUAAACAUUUAAGCAGGUGAUGCACUUUUUUCUUUAACAUCAGUAGGUUCAUUAUUUGUUUCAAUUCUGUCAAACUUAAUUAUCUGUACAGAGAAUGGAUGGCAGGAGUUAAUCUUAAAAAGUGGAUUUCAGUCCCCCAUCCAGCUGAUACUUCUUGUUGACAACAGUAGAAAACUCUUCAGUUCUGGCUUCAAAAACCUCUGGACUUGAGGAUUUUGUGACACUGUUAAGGCCCCUCUCCAGUUUUGGGCAAUGCCUGUCCCUGUAGCCUGAGGUCUCCGAGGAGAGUAGCUGUGGCUGCCACUACAGUCAGCUGAAUUCUCAUGGUUGUGGCUGGGUGCAAGCAGAACAGCUGUGCAACACAAUGAACAGUUUCUCAGCUCAUCUGAUAGGGAGGAUAACUUAACUUUUCCUCCUGAGCACAAAUUUUUAAUGUUUGUCUUUUGCUAGAGGUCCUACAUACAGAAGGUUUGGCUAAGUCUAUUGUGCUGAUUUCUGUUUCCUCCUCCCUCAUGUUGACAAGGAGCUUCACAUUUAACACACUCAGUUUUCCAAGCCGUCAGAAAAGACAAGAUUCCAGCCCUGUGGAGUUAGAAUGUGUUUUUAUUACCUUGGUGUAUACUACUUAGUUUAAAAAUUAAUUACUGUUCAAGAGUUUUUAAUAGAAGAUAAUGAUUUCUUUAAAAUCUUCUUAAUAAUACUUUAUCUCCAUAUAUAGGGUAAGUGGCAUUAAACCUCUGAAGAACCUUUAUGUGUAUAUUGACCCCCAUACAGAAGGCAGACCAGACUGUGCUACUGCUGGAGAUAGAGGGAUCUUCUACAGCAUGUGUAAAAUUGUAAUGUGGGUGGAGGAUGUUGAGAAGUGGCAAUUGCUUGAAAUUAAUAAACUGUGCUUGAAACUUGUCUUCA